Molecule: unclassified non-coding RNA, 337 nt
Filed under: soil metagenome
Description: partial contains 5.8S ribosomal RNA, internal transcribed spacer 2, and large subunit ribosomal RNA
Rfam family: 5.8S ribosomal RNA (bases 3-120)
Source: RNAcentral
GGUGAAGAACGUAGCGAAAUGCGAUAAGUAGUGUGAAUUGCAGAAUUCAGUGAAUCAUCGAAUCUUUGAACGCACAUUGCGCCCCAUGGUAUUCCGUGGGGCAUGCCUGUUCGAGCGUCAUUUACCCCCUCAAGCUCCGCUUGGUGUUGGGCGUCUGUCCCGCUUCGCGCGCGGACUCGCCCCAAAGGUAUUGGCAGCGGUCGUGCCAGCUUCUCGCGCAGCACAUUGCGCUUCUCGAGGCACCGGUGGGCCCGCGUCCAUCAAGCUCACCCCCCCAGUUUGACCUCGGAUCAGGUAGGGAUACCCGCUGAACUUAAGCAUAUCAAUAAGCGGAGGA